GACGAACGCUGGCGGCGUGCCUAAUACAUGCAAGUCGAACGCUGAAGCGAGGAGCUUGCUCUUCUUGGAUGAGUUGCGAACGGGUGAGUAACGCGUAGGUAACCUGCCUUGUAGCGGGGGAUAACUAUUGGAAACGAUAGCUAAUACCGCAUAACAAUAGGUGACACAUGUCAUUUAUUUGAAUGGGGCCAUUGCUCCACUACAAGAUGGACCUAGGUUGGAUUAGCUAGUUGGUGAGGUAACGGCUCACCAAGGCGACGAUACAUAGCCGGUAUGAGAGGAUGGUCAGCAAAAAUGGAAGUGAGACACGGUCCAGACUCCUACGGGAGGCAGACGUGGGGAAUAUUGGACAAUGGGCGCAAGCCUGAUCCAGGCAUACCGCGUGGGUGAAGAAGGCCUUCGGGUUGUAAAGCCCUUUUGUUGGGAAAGAAAAGCAGCAGGUUAAUACCCCGCUGUUCUGACGGUACCCAAAGAAUAAGCACCGGCUAACUUCGUG
Molecule: ribosomal RNA, 496 nt
Filed under: uncultured bacterium
Lineage: Bacteria
Description: partial 16S ribosomal RNA
Rfam family: Bacterial small subunit ribosomal RNA
Source: RNAcentral